Molecule: ribosomal RNA, 62 nt
Filed under: uncultured soil eukaryote
Lineage: Eukaryota
Description: partial 5.8S ribosomal RNA
Rfam family: 5.8S ribosomal RNA
About the family: 5.8S ribosomal RNA (5.8S rRNA) is a component of the large subunit of the eukaryotic ribosome. It is transcribed by RNA polymerase I as part of the 45S precursor that also contains 18S and 28S rRNA.
Source: RNAcentral
AAUCUUUGAACGCGCAUUGCGCCCUCUGGUAUUCCGGAGGGCAUGCCUGUUUGAGCGUCGUU